RNAcentral lists this ribosomal RNA (496 nucleotides) under uncultured bacterium. Its description in RNAcentral is "partial 16S ribosomal RNA". It matches the Rfam family "Bacterial small subunit ribosomal RNA", at positions 28 to 506 of the family's 1533-position model. The record is from RNAcentral.
GAUGAACGCUGGCGGCGUGCCUAAUACAUGCAAGUCGAGCGAACAGACGAGGAACUUGCUCCUCUGACGUUAGCGGCGGACGGGUGAGUAACACGUGGAUAACCUACCUAUAAGACUGGGAUAACUUCGGGAAACCGGAGCUAAUACCGGAUAAUAUAUUGAACCGCAUGGUUCAAUAGUGAAAGACGGUUUUGCUGUCACUUAUAGAUGGAUCCGCGCCGCAUUAGCUAGUUGGUAAGGUAACGGCUUACCAAGGCAACGAUGCGUAGCCGACCUGAGAGGGUGAUCGGCCACACUGGAACUGAGACACGGUCCAGACUCCUACGGGAGGCAGCAGUAGGGAAUCUUCCGCAAUGGGCGAAAGCCUGACGGAGCAACGCCGCGUGAGUGAUGAAGGUCUUCGGAUCGUAAAACUCUGUUAUUAGGGAAGAAUAAAUGUGUAAGUAACUAUGCACGUCUUGACGGUACCGAAUCAGAAAGCCACGGCUAACUACGU